Molecule: long non-coding RNA, 1136 nt
Filed under: Gallus gallus (chicken)
Lineage: Eukaryota; Metazoa; Chordata; Aves; Galliformes; Phasianidae
Description: lncRNA (ENSGALG00010019279.1)
Source: RNAcentral
CAGAGAUCUGUGCACAUAAUCCCCCCAAAUAGGGGGGAACAACAGCCUUGAGUCUCCUGCUUGUGUGUUAGUUUGCUGUACAGUACCCAAAGUACAUAGAAGGGAACAACACAAAUAUUCUUACAGGUGUGACAACAAAAGAACAGAAAAAGAAAGAAAUCCCUCAAAAAGAAAGAGAAAAAGAAGGGAAAAAAAAAAAAGCAACAGCAAAGAAGGAAGACUCAGAUAUUCUGUCAGUGAAAUCCUGUACCCACUGAGCUCACAGGAAAUUAUAUGAUACCUGGGUCCCUAAAGCAGGAACCUGAAUGCUGCAGCAGGAUGCAUGAUUGCUGAUGUCCAGAAUAUCCGAUGUGAUAUAUGACUUGAAGAGGAGCCACAUUUCUUCUGUAAAAGAAAUGAAAUAAAAGGAGUGCUGAGCAAAAGGCACCAGGAACCACCGCCCACCUCCCAGAGUGCCAUUCCUCAACUUGGGGACAGAACAACCCCAAAGAGAAACAUACUGGUGUUCCGAGCAGUAGUGACAGGACGAUCCUGAGUGAACAGAAGAUGAAUCAGUGGAAGAAACCAGCCUGCCAAACUGCUCCAGGAACCUCUUCUAAGUGCCCGCAGAGGAACAGAUGCCCUUGCAGUGGAAGCAUGAUGUCAAAACUGACUGCUGAGGUCUCACACCAAAGGCUGUUUUCCUCUUGAGACCUGAGACAAGUCUCUUCUAAGCCACACUUGCUGUUGUGUUUCCUAAAACAAAAGAAAUCGUUGAGGACCUUGAACUACCUGAAAGAAGGUUGUAGUGAAGUGGAGGUCAGACUCUUCUCUGAGCACAUUGGCCUUACUGCACAUAAGAACAACUCUUUCCGCUGAUGUUUUUUCACCUGCUCUGGAUAAAGCCUGAGAUACACCCUCAGUGACACUCCUGGGUUCUCCUUUUCCUUUCUGCUUUGGUGCAGAGGUGAAAGUAUCACAAGACAGUGAGAAAUGGAUGGAUUUACUUGACACAAAGAGAAAAUGCUGCUCUGCCAAAAUCAACUUUCUGAUGACAACAGCAGGACCAAAAAUUUGACUCAGGUGGUGUUGCUUUUUGUGUCAUUCAGUCACUAUGAGAAGGAGAGCAUUAAUUCCCAGAACAUUUAUACGCUAUU